This 831-nucleotide long non-coding RNA is filed under the name Apteryx owenii (little spotted kiwi). RNAcentral's name for it is "lncRNA (ENSAOWG00000005331.1)". Lineage: Eukaryota; Metazoa; Chordata; Aves; Apterygiformes; Apterygidae. The record is from RNAcentral.
AAUUUUGACAGGCAUGACCUGUUCUCACCAAGACCUGAAGUAUGAUUAAACCCUUUGGGCUGUAUGAAGGAUGUUUUCUUCUCUUGGUGAGAAGGUACAUCGCGGGGAGCACAGCAAAAUGGGACAGCGACAUGGCAGGAAGCGAGGUUGUGCAGCUGUGAAAGGCAGAGACAACAAGGUUGGAGCCUUAGGAGAAGAGACUGAAGAGGCUGUGACUCUCCACCUGGGAGAGGAGGCUGAAAGGGGUGUGUUCAGCAAUCAUGGAUCUCAAGGGAAGGGAUAAGAUGUGACCAGCUCUGACAGCAUUACUCCUGGAAGAGUAGGUACAGGAAAAAUCUUCGGUAAGGCUUUGAAGAAAGCCUGAAGGUCUUUUAUAACUAACUUGGCUGUGCUAAUUUAACAUACUUUACUGUUGACUUCAAAAUGCAAGACACUUAGAUAUCUUACCACUUCCUUUUAUUCUGAAAAUAUUAGUUGCUUUUUUCUCCUUUGCUGUGUAGUGACCUUUGCAGAAAUAUUCCAUGAAUGCUGGCUGUAUAGGUGUGUGGAAAAACUGUGUUGGUCUGAAGGACUAAUGAAAGAGGCUUAAUCACAAGCUGGAACUCAUGUAUCGUGUGAUAAGCUAUUAUAAAAAUCCCAUGCUGAGCUCACAAGCCCUGUGUGAGUGCACCUCCAGGAAGGAGGCUAAUUCUACAUGAUAGGAGCAGCAGAAAGGUAUGACAUCCUAAAGUUUGGCCUGGAGUCUGGCCUUUUGGUCUUCUGAAAAAGCCAAUGAGAGACUGAUUCAGCCUAAUGCUAUUUAGGCUGUUUCUUGUCCAAAUGACCCAAAAU